UAAUGUAUGGGGAUCUGCCCGAUAGAGGGGGAGUAACUACUGGAAACGGUGGCUAAUACCGCAUAAUGUCUACGGACCAAAGCAGGGGCUCUUCGGACCUUGCACUAUCGGAUGAACCCAUAUGGGAUUAGCUAGUAGGUGGGGUAAAGGCUCACCUAGGCGACGAUCUCUAGCUGGUCUGAGAGGAUGAUCAGCCACACUGGGACUGAGACACGGCCCAGACUCCUACGGGAGGCAGCAUG
This 242-nucleotide ribosomal RNA is filed under the name uncultured bacterium. RNAcentral describes it as "partial 16S ribosomal RNA". It matches the Rfam family "Bacterial small subunit ribosomal RNA", at positions 111 to 353 of the family's 1533-position model. The record is from RNAcentral.